Molecule: ribosomal RNA, 467 nt
Filed under: uncultured bacterium
Lineage: Bacteria
Description: partial 16S ribosomal RNA
Rfam family: Bacterial small subunit ribosomal RNA
Source: RNAcentral
GACGAACGCUGGCGGCGUGCUUAACACAUGCAAGUCGAACGGAAAGGCCCUGCUUUUGUGGGGUGCUCGAGUGGCGAACGGGUGAGUAACACGUGAGUAACCUGCCCUUGACUUUGGGAUAACUUCAGGAAACUGGGGCUAAUACCGGAUAGGAGCUCCUGCUGCUUGGUGGGGGUUGGAAAGUUUCGGCGGUUGGGGAUGGACUCGCGGCUUAUCAGCUUGUUGGUGGGGUAGUGGCUUACCAAGGCUUUGACGGGUAGCCGGCCUGAGAGGGUGACCGGCCACAUAGGGACUGGGAUACGGCCCAGACUCCUAAGGGAGGGAGGAGGGGGGAAUAUUGCAAAAUGGGCGGAAGCCUGAUGCAGCAACGCCGGGUGCGGGAUGACGGCCUUCGGGUUGUAAACCGCUUUCGCGUGUGACGAAGCGUGAGUGACGGUAAUGGGUAAAGAAGCACCGGCUACUACGUG